UCUCAGGGUCGUGAGUUCAAGCCCCUGGUUGGGUAUGAAGCCUACUUCAAAAAACACACACAACAACAGGACAGAUAUUGUAUGAUUCCACUCAUAUGAAAUACUUAGUCAAUUCACAGAGACAGUGGAAUGGUGGCUACCAGGGACUGGAGGGAGGAGGGAAUGGGAAGUUAAUGUUGAGUGUAUAUAGAGCUUCAGUUUUGCCAGAUGAAGAGAGUCAUGGUGAUGGAUGGUGGUGAUGGUGGCACAACCAGGUGAAUGUGCUUAGUGCCAUGGAACUGUACAUUUAAAAAUGAUUUAAAUAGUAAAUAGGCAUAGCAGCAUUAUUCACAGUAGCAAAAUAUUAAAAACAACCCGCACAUCCUUCGGCAGGUGAAUUGUUAAACUUCGGUACAGCCGUACGGUGAACAUUAAGCAAUAACCAGGCAUCAACUAUUGAUACAGAUGGGUUUCAGCUUAAGGAGAUUCAUGGGAAGGACUUUUGACAAAUACGGGUCUCUCAUACCAGUAAGAUGAUAAAGCCAAACUGAGUAAGAACUUCUGGAACUAACAGGAAAUCCAUUCAAACAGAGCAAGAAUUAGUAACAUGGGACUGAAUGAAUUGAGGAAGAUAAUUACUCUUGUUGAAACGCUGCUGGUUCUCUAAUGUUUGCUCUUCCAGAUUUAAGGAAAGUGUUUUUCUCUUAAGCUAUUAUGACUUGCAGAAAUUUGGUAGAAUAAUCCCUUUGUAAACAAACAUGAUACAUUUAUCUUUUUCUCCCCACCUGAUCCCUCCAGAUUCGGAAACUCUCAGUGAGUAUUCUUAUAUUUUCAUGGCAAUGUAUGUAUUUGUAUACGUUCAGUAAGAAUCUGUUCUUAGGACAGGACACAUUUGGAAACAUUGGUUAUAUUAUCAGGGCUUUGACUGGACUAUCAUAUUUGAGGGAGACGUGCAUUGACUCAGAUAUGAGCAGACAGCUUUAAGGAACUAAAGCUGACGUUUUGGAGCCAAUGAAGUGCCUUGGAAAAAUCAGCUUUGUACUUACUUACAGAGUUCCCAGGAGGUCAUUUUCUGGCAGGUGCAGGAACCUCAGGAUAUUUUAGGGACCUCAAGAAGAGAGGAACUUACCCGAAUCUAUAGGUAUUGCAGACAGAGUCUGAUGGCAAGUACUUGGCUUGGCUUCUUAGCCCUGAGAGGCUAUUAAAAGUUCAGUCUGAAAUUCUUUGAGAAGUUCCAGCAAAGCAGAUU
Molecule: long non-coding RNA, 1228 nt
Organism: Herpailurus yagouaroundi (jaguarundi)
Lineage: Eukaryota; Metazoa; Chordata; Mammalia; Carnivora; Felidae
Exons: 2
Source: RefSeq, a predicted model, not a curated record